RNAcentral lists this unclassified non-coding RNA (88 nucleotides) under Pseudomonas palleroniana. Lineage: Bacteria; Pseudomonadati; Pseudomonadota; Gammaproteobacteria; Pseudomonadales; Pseudomonadaceae. The record is from RNAcentral.
GUCGGAGGGGGCUUGCUCCCGAUAGCGGAGGGUCAGUCGGCAGAUGUAUCAACUGAUCCACCGCUAUCGGGAGCAAGCCCCCUCCCAC